Molecule: non-coding RNA, 45 nt
Filed under: Echinostoma caproni
Lineage: Eukaryota; Metazoa; Platyhelminthes; Trematoda; Plagiorchiida; Echinostomatidae
Source: RNAcentral
GCACUGUUGACGAGUCCCAAACAGAACGAAGCAGCUGUCCAGUGC